GCAGUCGAACGAGGUAGAAAUAUCUAAGUGGCAAACGGGUGAGUAACACGUAGUUUACCUGCCCCGAAGAGGGGGAUAACGUCUCGAAAGAGACGCUAAUACCGCAUAAGCUCACGAUCUAUAGAGGGUUGUGAGAAAAGGAGAAAUCCGCUUUGGGAGGGGACUGCGGCCUAUCAGCUAGAUGGUGAGGUAAUAGCUUACCAUGGCGACGACGGGUAGGGGGCCUGAGAGGGUAGACCCCCACACUGGGACUGAGAAACGGCCCAGACUCCUACGGGAGGCAGCAGUGAGGGAUAUUGCACAAUGGGCGAAAGCCUGAUGCAGCGACGCCGCGUGGGAGAUGAAGGCCUUCGGGUUGUAAAUCCCUUUUUUGCGUGACGAGAAAAAGGACGGUAGCGCAAGAAUAAGUCUCGGCUAACUACGUGCCAGCAGCCGCGGUAAAACGUAGGAGACGAACGUUAUCCGGAGUUACUGGGCGUAAAGGGCGUGCAGGUGGCUACUUAAGUCUGAUGUGAAAUCUCUCUGCUCAACGGAGAGGGUGCGUUGGAUACUGGGCAGCUUGAGGACGGUAGGGGUGGAUGGACUUCCGGGUGUAGUGGUGAAAUGCGUAGAUAUCCGGAGGAACACCAGUGGCGAAGGCGAUCCACUAGGCCGUACCUGACACUAAGACGCGACAGCAUGGGGAGCGAACGGGAUUAGAAACCCCGGUAGUCCAUGCCGUAAACGAUGUCAGCUAGGCGUUCAGUUCUCGAAAGGGAAUCGGGGUGCCGCAGCAAACGCGAUAAGCUGACCGCC
Molecule: ribosomal RNA, 795 nt
Filed under: uncultured bacterium
Lineage: Bacteria
Description: bacterial SSU rRNA
Rfam family: Bacterial small subunit ribosomal RNA
Source: RNAcentral